This 467-nucleotide ribosomal RNA is filed under the name uncultured bacterium. Its description in RNAcentral is "partial 16S ribosomal RNA". It matches the Rfam family "Bacterial small subunit ribosomal RNA", at positions 28 to 507 of the family's 1533-position model. The record is from RNAcentral.
GACGAACGCUGGCGGCGUGCUUAACACAUGCAAGUCGAACGGAAAGGCCCUGCUUUUGUGGGGUGCUCGAGUGGCGAACGGGUGAGUAACACGUGAGUAACCUGCCCUUGACUUUGGGAUAACUUCAGGAAACUGGGGCUAAUACCGGAUAGGAGCUCCUGCUGCAUGGUGGGGGUUGGAAAGUUUCGGCGGUUGGGGAUGGACUCGCGGCUUAUCAGCUUGUUGGUGGGGUAGUGGCUUACCAAGGCUUUGACGGGUAGCCGGCCUGAGAGGGUGACCGGCCACAUGGGGACUGAGAUACGGCCCAGACUCCUACGGGAGGCAGCAGUGGGGAAUAUUGCACAAUGGGCGGAAGCCUGAUGCAGCAACGCCGCGUGCGGGAUGACGGCCUUCGGGUUGUAACCGCUUUCGCCUGUGACGAAGCGUGAGUGACGGUAAUGGGUAAAGAAGCACCGGCUAACUACGUG